This 459-nucleotide ribosomal RNA is filed under the name uncultured bacterium. RNAcentral's name for it is "partial 16S ribosomal RNA". It matches the Rfam family "Bacterial small subunit ribosomal RNA", at positions 338 to 795 of the family's 1533-position model. The record is from RNAcentral.
CCUACGGGAGGCAGCAGUGAGGAAUAUUGGUCAAUGGCCGGAAGGCUGAACCAGCCAAGCCGCGUGAAGGACGAAGGUGCCAAGCAUUGUAAACUUCUUUUGUCAAGGGACAAAAUCAGGCUCGAGAGCCUGACCGAGGGUACUUGAAGAAAAAGCAUCGGCUAACUCCGUGCCAGCAGCCGCGGUAAUACGGAGGAUGCGAGCGUUAUCCGGAUUUAUUGGGGUUAAAGGUUGCGUCGGCGGACUGUUAAGUCAGCGGUAAAAGCCCGGGGCUCAACCCCGACGAGCCGUUGAAACUGGCUGGCUUGAGAUGUCGAGAGGUAUGCGGAAUGCGAGGUGUAGCGGUGAAAUGCUUAGAGAUUGCGCAGAAUUCCGAUUGCGAAGGCAGCAUACCGGCGGCGAGCUGACGCUGAGGCACGAAAGCGUGGGUAUCGAACAGGAUUAGAUACCCUAGUAGUC